CAGAGGUCUCUAAGCGUUGUUCGGAUUCAUUGGGCGUAAAGGGUGCGUAGGUGGCGCGCUAAGUCAGGUGUGAAAUUUCGAGCUCAACUCCGAAACUGCAUUUGAUACUGGCGUGCUUGAGGACUGGAGAGGAGACUGGAAUUCACGGUGUAGCAGUGAAAUGCGUAGAUAUCGUGAGGAAGACCAGUGGCGAAGGCGGGUCUCUGGACAGUUCCUGACACUGAGGCACGAAGGCCAGGGGAGCAAACGGGAUUAGAUACCCCGGUAGUCCUGGCAGUAAACGGUGCACGUUUGGUGUGGGAGGAUUCGACCCCUUCUGCGCCGGAGCUAACGCGUUAAACGUGCCGCCUGGGGAGUACGGUCGCAAGAUUAA
Molecule: ribosomal RNA, 373 nt
Filed under: uncultured organism
Description: bacterial SSU rRNA
Rfam family: Bacterial small subunit ribosomal RNA
Source: RNAcentral